Molecule: ribosomal RNA, 230 nt
Filed under: uncultured microorganism
Description: partial 16S ribosomal RNA
Rfam family: Bacterial small subunit ribosomal RNA
Source: RNAcentral
UACGUAGGGGGCAAGCGUUGUCCGGAAUUAUUGGGCGUAAAGGGCGCGUAGGCGGCCAUUUAAGUCUGAUGUGAAAGUGCGGGGCUUAACCCCGUAAAGCAUUGGAAACUGGAUGGCUUGAGGACAGGAGAGGAAAGUGGAAUUCCACGUGUAGCGGUGAAAUGCGUAGAUAUGUGGAGGAACACCAGUGGCGAAGGCGACUUUCUGGACUGUAACUGACGCUGAGGCCC